CUUUUUAGAGUGUCCACGUCGGACAGGAAAAUAGUCCAAUCAGAAUAUUUCCUUUUGCCAUGUCAUGUACUUUUUUUUGGUUUAUGAUUGUACGUUAGGCUCUCUCUCUAACAGUCAAGGUGGGCUUCUGUAGGGGCUCUCUCUAAAAAAAUUAUUGGCCCACCCAGCUCUUACUUCUUCGUCUUCAAGUUUCGGAAGUCUCUCCCGACGAUUUCACUUCAUCUUCUCCAAUCCCUAAAUUUUUUUUUCACCGUUACCUUAUCAUCAAUGACUAUGUUAAAGCGAUUCUUCAAUGUUCUGUUCCACCUCCCCUUCAUACUUCUCCUACAUAAAGCUCUCUUUCUAAACCUAGAUCCAUCCUAAAUCGAAAAAAUUACUCUGCAGAAACGAUAUCCAUGGCAAUGAAAUCCACCACGAAGUCUCAGCUAGCCACCGGUAAAUCUCCCGUCGCCAUGUACUUCAACGACAUCUCGCCGGGACUUUCUGAGUCACAGCUUCAAUUCCGAUUGAUCCAUUUUUGGGAGGCAAAGAACAUCGCCAAAGGUGGGACUUUAAUUGGGGUUGGUAUUGGGUUACCCAAUUCAACAGCUUCUGUGCGUAACUUUAUCAAAGCCUCGAAAGUAACCACUUGAAGCUCAAUAGUCUAAAUGUGUUUUGUCUGUGUGAUGAAGAGCCACACAGCUACGAUGGAGAGACACUUCGAUGAUAUUUAUAAUUUUGCUGGAAAUAAUAGUUCAUCAUCGCUGCCAUGGUCAAUCCUCGCUGUCGUACGAUCGACAAGUUCAGAUCAUUGAGAGGUAGCAAAAUGUUUACUUGCAAUGAUCAACGCAUAAUUGCUCUUGAAUUGGACACAGGUGCAAGUCGACUACAAAGUCUUGAGCAAUUGAUGGGCCAUUUUACAGUGAAGAUCCAAUGUCCCUACUUCCCAUGUUUUGUUUGUCUGUUGGUAUUUUCUGUAAUGGAAUUGUCAAUCUUUUGGUAGGGAACUGUUAAAUCUUCUUUCUUUCUUUUUGUAAAAAGGCUUACAAAACUGUUAAAUCUUCACAAAGCAUUUUUGAGGUUUAAUUCUUUUUCUUUUUACUCCUCUCUAUCUAAUCUAAGAUCAUAUGGAUUUACUAAUUUGUAUGCCUAUCAUAUUUGUCUCAGUUAGUUCAGGCAGCAGUUGUGGUAGAAAACAUGAUUAAGACAGAGUGCUUGAAAAAUGAACUGUGCUAUUAUAUAUUACAAUAAAACCAUAACUCAAUCAGAUAUGGAUGAGACAAAGCCAAUCGGCUUACCAGGUCAGAAGUCACAACCCGUUUCGGAUCCACAAGAAAGAAGCAGUAGAGGUAAGUGCGGGAAACACAGUAGAAAAGCUUCAGGGCGCGUGCAAAAACAGAGGCUUCUUUAUCAAAGUAGAUUCAACGUGUGUUUAUGUGUAGCAGUGUAUAUAUAUGUAAUAUUGUAGCAGUGGAUGGCCCGAGAGAAUGUGUACUGUGUACACAUACAUAUAUGUAGAAGACUAACUAAUGUGGUUUUAAUUAGUAUCAAAACAAUUGUUUCGAUAUAUGCUAAGCUGAUGUUAGGACGAAAACUUAGAUUCUUUGUAAAUUUCUCUCUGUAUAAACAGUGGUUGGAUGAUUAUAAGAGGCUUCAAUCUUUCUUUUUCUUCAUUUAUGGAUUUAAGCCUUGCCUUAAACUAAAAAAAUUCAAAUAAGUAUAAGAAAUUAUUUUGAACCAGCAUACAAAAUUUAAAUCGGUAUUAUUUAAUGCUAUAUAAUUUUCUUUAUUAUAGUUACUUUGUUGUAUUAUUCACAUAUAAUAGAAAACCGGAAUUUGCAUAAUAAUGUUUCUCUUGCAUUUAGGUUAAAAUAUGUAUUCAGAGUAUUGUUCAUCCCACUAAAGAAAAUUAAAAGUAAAAGUUUGUAAUCUUGGAAAACUAGAGUCCAACUGGUUGACUAUAGUUGAGGAAAGGAAUACUACGUUCCAGUUCAUUCCCAGAUUAUUUUACCAUUUGCAAAGAAAAUUUAUUACUUAUAAGGGUUACUAAUUCCCCAUCGUUCCUUUUCUAUAAAGAACUAUGGCACAAAUAUAUUCCAUAUCAAAUCAUACGAGGAACAAUUAUUCCUUCAGUUUUUUUCUUAUAGUUCCUUUAGAUUUUUUUUUCACUUAAAUUGUCACCAAUUGGACCUUAAAUUACAUCAUUUAACCUUUCAAAAACAAUAGGUUUGCAAAAUGUAUACGAAAAAAUCAGUCAAAAAAAUGUAUACGAAAAAGUAUUAAUGGAUUCAAAAAAUGUAUAAGAAGGAAAAAUAAUUUAUGAUUUAUGUAUUGAAAUUUAAAUAUAGUUCUGAAUAAUUUUAUUUAUUUAAUAAAUAUAGAAUAAAUCAUCCUAUCUUUUGUCUAUCUUUUGUUGAUUAGCCAUAUCAUUAGAACCACAUUACUAAAUGCUCUCAACGGAACCAAAUCACCACCCAAACAGAAUCCCACAGAGCAAACUAAAAACAAAAAUAAACAAAUACAAUUAAUUAAAAAGCGUAGUAUAAUUAGAGAAUGAAGUGGAAUAACAUGAAAUUAAUAAUAUUUGAUCAUUAACCUCCCAAUUUUUUUAAAAAAAAUAUUAGGACAAAAUAACAACCCAAAAAUGAGAUAGAUUGCUUGGAGUACGAGUUCGAAAACUUGAGUGUUACUCAUCCGUUUUACAAGCAAGUAAAGCUAUAAUAUUAUGCCAUCCAAACAAUAUAAACAAUUAAUAAGAUCAUCAUCAAGCUAAAAUUCAUUUAAAAUUAUAAGAAGAAAUUAAU
Molecule: long non-coding RNA, 2783 nt
Organism: Brassica rapa (field mustard)
Lineage: Eukaryota; Viridiplantae; Streptophyta; Magnoliopsida; Brassicales; Brassicaceae
Source: RefSeq, a predicted model, not a curated record